Molecule: ribosomal RNA, 459 nt
Filed under: uncultured Dysgonomonas sp.
Lineage: Bacteria; Pseudomonadati; Bacteroidota; Bacteroidia; Bacteroidales; Dysgonomonadaceae
Description: bacterial SSU rRNA
Rfam family: Bacterial small subunit ribosomal RNA
Source: RNAcentral
GGGCCCGCACAAGCGGAGGAACAUGUGGUUUAAUUCGAUGAUACGCGAGGAACCUUACCCGGGCUUGAAAUGUACCUGACCGGCCGGGAAACCGGUCUUCCAGCAAUGGCAGGUAUGUAGGUGCUGCAUGGUUGUCGUCAGCUCGUGCCGUGAGGUGUCGGCUUAAGUGCCAUAACGAGCGCAACCCCUAUUGUUAGUUACUAACAGGUAAAGCUGAGGACUCUGACAAGACUGCCAGCGUAAGCUGCGAGGAAGGUGGGGAUGACGUCAAAUCAGCACGGGCCCUUACGUCCGGGGGCGACACACGUGUUACAAUGGGGGGUACAGAGGGGCAGCUACCUGGCGACAGGAUGCCAAUCCAUUAAAGCCUCUCCCAGUUCGGAUCGGAGUCUGCAACCCGACUUCGUGAAGCUGGAUUCGCUAGUAAUCGCGCAUCAGCCAUGGCGCGGUGAAUACGUU